This 496-nucleotide ribosomal RNA is filed under the name uncultured bacterium. RNAcentral describes it as "partial 16S ribosomal RNA". It matches the Rfam family "Bacterial small subunit ribosomal RNA", at positions 28 to 506 of the family's 1533-position model. The record is from RNAcentral.
GAUGAACGCUGGCGGCGUGCCUAAUACAUGCAAGUCGAGCGAACAGACGAGGAGCUUGCUCCUCUGACGUUAGCGGCGGACGGGUGAGUAACACGUGGAUAACCUACCUAUAAGACUGGGAUAACUUCGGGAAACCGGAGCUAAUACCGGAUAACAUGUUGAACCGCAUGGUUCAACAGUGAAAGACGGUCUUGCUGUCACUUAUAGAUGGAUCCGCGCCGCAUUAGCUAGUUGGUAAGGUAACGGCUUACCAAGGCAACGAUGCGUAGCCGACCUGAGAGGGUGAUCGGCCACACUGGAACUGAGACACGGUCCAGACUCCUACGGGAGGCAGCAGUAGGGAAUCUUCCGCAAUGGGCGAAAGCCUGACGGAGCAACGCCGCGUGAGUGAAGAAGGUCUUCGGAUCGUAAAACUCUGUUAUUAGGGAAGAACAAAUGUGUAAGUAACUAUGCACGUCUGGACGGUACCUAAUCAGAAGGCCACGGCUAACUACGU